UGCCACAGCCAUAUCACCCUGCAGCCUAAGACCGGUUACUCACUGAAGCUAAGCAGGGCUGAGCCUGGUCAGUACCUGGAUGGGAGACCACUAGGGAACACUAGGAUGCUGUUGGAA
Non-coding RNA from Danio rerio (zebrafish), 117 nucleotides. NCBI's taxonomy places the organism in Eukaryota, Metazoa, Chordata, Actinopteri, Cypriniformes, Danionidae. The record is from Rfam.